RNAcentral lists this ribosomal RNA (252 nucleotides) under uncultured bacterium. RNAcentral's name for it is "partial 16S ribosomal RNA". It matches the Rfam family "Bacterial small subunit ribosomal RNA", at positions 524 to 776 of the family's 1533-position model. The record is from RNAcentral.
UACAGAGGUCUCAAGCGUUGUUCGGAAUUACUGGGCGUAAAGGGUGCGCAGGCGGCAAUGCAAGUCAAUCGUGAAAUUUAUAAGCUCAACUUGUAAGUGCGUUUGAUACUGCAUUGCUGGAGACUUGGGGGGGGGUUUGGAAUUUUCGGUGUAGCAGUGAAAUGCGUAGAUAUCGAAAGGAACGCCAACGGCGAAAGCAAAACCCUAAACAACGUCUGACGCUCAUGCACGAAGGCUGGGGAAGCAAACGGG